Molecule: long non-coding RNA, 3159 nt
Organism: Papio anubis (olive baboon)
Lineage: Eukaryota; Metazoa; Chordata; Mammalia; Primates; Cercopithecidae
Source: Ensembl
GCUUACACUCAAGAUCCCUGUGACACUCCAGUACUUUCAGCCAUACCCAGAUCCUCUGCAACACACUCAGGACGCCAGCUGCCCUGGCUAUGGCUGUCACACCGCAUCCCUGUGACACUCAGACGCCAGCUACACCGCAUCCCUGCGACACUCAGACGCCAGCUACAACACAUCCCUGCGACACUGAGAUGCUGCCACCUGGCUGGGCUGCCACGCACAAGAUCCCUGUGACACUUCAGACUCCAGCUACCCGGGCUGUGGCCGUCACACCGCAUCCCUGCGACACUCAGACGCCAGCUACCCGGGCUGUGGCCGUCACACCGCAUCCCUGUGACACUCAGACGCCAGCUACACCGCAUCCCUGCGACACUCAGACGCCAGCUACCCGGGCUAUGGCCGUCACGCCGCAUCCCUGUGACACUCAGACGCCAGCUACCCGGGCUGUGGCCGUCACACCAAAUCCCUGCGACACUCAGACGCCAGCUACCCGGGCUGUGGCCGUCACGCUGCAUCCCUGUGACACUCAGAUGCCAGCUAACGUGUUCUAAUAAAAGUAAGCAUCGCUGGCCGGGCGCGGGGGCUCACGCUUGUAAUCCCAGCACUUUGGGAGGCCGGGGCAGGCGCGUCACCUGAGGUCAGGAGUUCGAGACCAGCCUGGCCAACAUGGAGAAACCCAAUCUCUACUAAAAAUACAAAAUUAGAUGAGCACUGUGGCAUGCACCUGUAAUCCCAGCUACUAGGGAGGCUGAGGCAGGAGAAUCACUUGAACCCGGGAGGCAGAGGUUGCGGUGAGCGGAGAUCACCCCAUUGCAUUCCAGCCUGGGCAACAAGAGCGAAAGUCUAUCUCAAAAAAAAAAAAAAAAAAAGCAUCACUUUUAAAGACAAAAUACCAACAUGAUAUGAACUGCUGAAACAUUCUCUGAUUUCAUGGUUAAUAAGAAAAAGACAGCAGAACGCCAGUGCACUUGGUUUCUGGAGAGAACCACUGUCAGGAGGCCGUGUUGACAAGGACGUUGGAGGAACUCAGCCGCAAGCACCAAGCAGACUCCUGGACAAAAAGAAGCCGCAGCUCCAAACUGAUGGGUGGUGAAGAGUACAUUCCCUUUGGCUGGCACAGUGAGGGAAAAAGACCAGAGUUUUAUGUUUAGGUUAGAGGAGACUCACACGUACGGUGCUAACGAUAACAGUGACCGAUGAGUAAGCACGUUCUACACGAUGCUAUUCCAAUAGCCCUGAAGACAGGUCUUCAUAUUAACCCCUUUCUACAGAGGGGACACCAAGGCUUAGAAGUGGAAAUCCCUGGGCCGGGCGCGGUGGCUCAAGCCUGUAAUCCCAGCACUUUGGGAGGCCGAGACGGGCGGAUCACGAGGUCAGGAGAUCGAGACCAUCCUGGCUAACACGGUGAAACCCCGUCUCUAUUAAAUACAAAAAAACUAGCCGGGCGAGGUGGCGGGCGCCUGUAGUCCCAGCUACUUGGGAGGCUGAGGCCGGAGAAUGGCGUGAACCCGGGAGGCGGAGCUUGCAGUGAGCUGAGAUCCGGCCACUGCACUCCAGCCUGGGUGACAGAGCGAGACUCCGUCUCAAAAAAAAAAAAAAAAAAGAAGUGGAAAUCCCUUUCCAAAGUUAUCCCAGUGGUAAAAACAGCACGGGGGUUUGAACCCGGGCCUUUCUGGCUGCAGGGUCCUUGUGCCUGUCCCACACCCUACGGUGUCACUGUCUCCCGGGAGACCCUAAAGGGCAGGGGGAGCCACAGAGCAGAGCGGACAGCCUCCGGUUCUAGUGCCCGAUGUGUGCACGUCGAUACAUUAAAGCCCUGUCGCUGGGCAGAUGGACGAGGGGUGUAUGUCCAGGGAAAUACCUGUGUGCUUUGAGUAGUAACAAGCCCAGACUGUCAAAAUGAAGAACUGAGGACACAUCGUUGGGCCCAUCGAAUUCUGAAUCAGCUGUGAAAGUAGAAGAAAUAAUUCGCUCCAAGAGAAGGUGUUGACUUGUCCAAGACAGAAUUUGCUGUCUCUUCCUCUAGAAAUCAGAAGUGUUCAAACCCGGAGUUCUACUGAAAUACCCUAAAUUGGCAGUGCUUUUUUGUGGUAAUUUAAUCCGUAGCUGAAGCUGAAACGCCCGGCUUUUCGCAAAACGCAGUUUGCAGUCUGAGAUCCAACACUGCAAAAAGUGUGGCCGGUUCUUCAUCCUCAUAAAAUAAUCAACAUUUUCCAGCUACUCCGUCACAUCAGCUCAAACUCCACCUGGAAAACUCCACCUGGAUCUGGUGCUGUACACCCUUGACCACCCCAAAAUUUCCCCCGUGUUCAUGGAAGACGAUUGACUCCAGAAUGGAACAUGAAGCACAUGCUGAGACAUCAGCAGCACCAAGUAAGCACUCACUGUGGGCCAGGCCUGUCUCUGGACAGCUGCGCUCCCUCCAGACUCCUCGGUCCUACAGGUAAGUUCCACUUCGCCCCUGCUUUGCAGAGGAUGGAAAGUGAAGCAGAAAAGCCGAGUCACUUCCCAAGAUCACAGGACAGAGCUCAGAGCCCUGUCACUCCCUGUGUUGCUGCCUUCCCGUGUCACGAUGAGUAACUGCCUGAACAGAAGCGCCUGACUUGCUGCGUUUGUCCCAGCGGAGGGAUCACUGUUGGCUGCAAAUGGGUGUCUAAGACAGUCCUUUAAACGUGAACAUGGAGAAAAGGAGAAUUGCUAAAAACAUUGCUGGAAAACGUUGCCCAUAUAAACGUCUGUCUGAAAGAGCAACUUAGCCAGAGCGAAACUGUCCACUAAAUCAAAGGCAACUGGCACAACUAAAUGGUGUAGAAGCAAAUAUUUCAUUUUCAGCUCAAAGAAUAUCACCGCAAAAAUAUGUUCAUUCUGGGUUAUCGAUGCAUUUUCUAAAAGAAGAUCAUUCUGAAAACACACUAAUAAAGGUAAAUAUAUGCUGUUUCAAUCCCAACGGACACAAACAGUCCAAGGAGUCGAGGACCAAUCAUGUUUGCAAACUCCUGGCCCACAUGUCCUCCCUCAAACACAGACGUUAAUGUCUUACUCAGUGUACUAAGAAAUAUGUCCUCUUUGCUGAGUCUUUAAAAUCAAGUGGCUUAUGAAAUAAACCUCCGAUCCAGUAAGAGCUCUUGGCCUUAUCAACUCAUAUUGAAAAUAUGCACAAGG